This 484-nucleotide ribosomal RNA is filed under the name uncultured bacterium. Its description in RNAcentral is "partial 16S ribosomal RNA". It matches the Rfam family "Bacterial small subunit ribosomal RNA", at positions 30 to 507 of the family's 1533-position model. The record is from RNAcentral.
AUUGAACGCUGGCGGCAGGCCUAACACAUGCAAGUCGAGCGGAUGAAGGGAGCUUGCUCCUGGAUUCAGCGGCGGACGGGUGAGUAAUGCCUAGGAAUCUGCCUGGUAGUGGGGGAUAACGUCCGGAAACGGGCGCUAAUACCGCAUACGUCCUGAGGGAGAAAGUGGGGGAUCUUCGGACCUCACGCUAUCAGAUGAGCCUAGGUCGGAUUAGCUAGUUGGUGGGGUAAAGGCCUACCAAGGCGACGAUCCGUAACUGGUCUGAGAGGAUGAUCAGUCACACUGGAACUGAGACACGGUCCAGACUCCUACGGGAGGCAGCAGUGGGGAAUCUUGGACAAUGGGCGAAAGCCUGAUCCAGCCAUGCCGCGUGUGUGAAGAAGGUCUUCGGAUUGUAAAGCACUUUAAGUUGGGAGGAAGGGCAGUAAGUUAAUACCUUGCUGUUUUGACGUUACCGACAGAAGAAGCACCGGCUAACUUCGUG